This 458-nucleotide ribosomal RNA is filed under the name uncultured bacterium. RNAcentral's name for it is "SSU rRNA". It matches the Rfam family "Bacterial small subunit ribosomal RNA", at positions 26 to 518 of the family's 1533-position model. The record is from RNAcentral.
AGAAUCAACGCUGGCGGCGUGCCUAACACAUGCAAGUCGCACGAGAAAGGGGCUUCGGCCCUGAGUACAGUGGCGCACGGGUGAGUAACACGUGAAUAAUCUACCUCCGAGUGGGGAAUAACUGAGAGAAAUCUUAGCUAAUACCGCAUAACACUUACGAGUCAAAGCAGCAAUGCGCUUGGAGAGGAGUUCGCGGCCGAUUAGUUAGUUGGCGGGGUAAUGGCCCACCAAGACGAUGAUCGGUAUCCGGCCUGAGAGGGCGCACGGACACACUGGAACUGAAACACGGUCCAGACUCCUACGGAGGCAGCAGUGGGGAAUUUUGCGCAAUGGGGAAACCCUGACGCAGCAACGCCGCGUGGAGGAUGAAAUCCCUUGGGAUGUAAACUCCUUUCGAUAGGGAAGAUAAUGACGGUACCUAUAGAAGAAGCCCGGCUAACUUCGACGCCAGCAGCCGC